UACGGAGGAUGCGAGCGUUAUCCGGAUUUAUUGGGUUUAAAGGGUGCGUAGGCGGGCUGUUAAGUCAGCGGUAAAAGCCCGGGGCUCAACCCCGGCGAGCCGUUGAAACUGGCUGUCUUGAGAUGUCGAGAGGUAUGCGGAAUGCGCAGUGUAGCGGUGAAAUGCUUAGAUAUCGCGCAGAACUCCGAUUGCGAAGGCAGCAUACCGGCGGCGAUCUGACGCUGAGGCACGAAAGCGUGGGUAUCGAACAGG
This 252-nucleotide ribosomal RNA is filed under the name uncultured bacterium. Its description in RNAcentral is "partial 16S ribosomal RNA". It matches the Rfam family "Bacterial small subunit ribosomal RNA", at positions 524 to 776 of the family's 1533-position model. The record is from RNAcentral.